Molecule: ribosomal RNA, 317 nt
Filed under: uncultured bacterium
Lineage: Bacteria
Description: bacterial SSU rRNA
Rfam family: Bacterial small subunit ribosomal RNA
Source: RNAcentral
GAUGAACGCUAGCUACAGGCUUAACACAUGCAAGUCGCGGGGCAGCAUGACAUCAGCUUGCUGAUGUUGAUGGCGACCGGCGCACGGGUGAGUAACGCGUAUCCAACCUGCCCUUUACUAUGGGACAGCCCGUCGAAAGGCGGAUUAAUACCGUAUGUUGUCAUGUUGAUGCAUAUUUUCAUGACCAAAGGCUUCGGCCGGUAAAGGAUGGGGAUGCGUCUGAUUAGCUUGCCGGCGGGGUAACGGCCCACCGGGGCGACGAUCAGUAGGGGUUCUGAGAGGAAGGUCCCCCACAUUGGAACUGAGACACGGUCCAA